ACUAAGCGUACACGGUGGAUGCCCUGGCAGUCAGAGGCGAUGAAGGACGUGCUAAUCUGCGAAAAGCGCCGGCGAGGUGAUAUGAACCCUUGACCCGGCGAUGUCCGAAUGGGGAAACCCAGUGCAAUCCGUUGCACUAUCGUUAACUGAAUACAUAGGUUAACGAGGCGAACCGGGGGAACUGAAACAUCUAAGUACCCCGAGGAAAAGAAAUCAACCGAGAUUCCCCCAGUAGCGGCGAGCGAACGGGGAGCAGCCCGGAGUCUGAAUCAGCUUGUGUGUUAGUGGAACGGUCUGGAAAGUCCGACGGUACAGGGUGAUAGUCCCGUACACGAAAGCACACUUGCUGUGAACUCGAAGAGUAGGGCGGGACACGUGGUAUCCUGUCUGAAUAUGGGGGGACCAUCCUCCAAGGCUAAAUACUCCUGACUGACCGAUAGUGAACCAGUACCGUGAGGGAAAGGCGAAAAGAACCCCGGCGAGGGGAGUGAAAAAGAACCUGAAACCGUGUACGUACAAGCAGUGGGAGCCUCUUUAUGGGGUGACUGCGUACCUUUUGUAUAAUGGGUCAGCGACUUAUAUUCUGUAGCAAGGUUAACCGUAUAGGGGAGCCGAAGGGAAACCGAGUCUUAACUGGGCGUUAAGUUGCAGGGUAUAGACCCGAAACCCGGUGAUCUAGCCAUGGGCAGGUUGAAGGUUGGGUAACACUAACUGGAGGACCGAACCGACUAAUGUUGAAAAAUUAGCGGAUGACCUGUGGCUGGGGGUGAAAGGCCAAUCAAACCGGGAGAUAGCUGGUUCUCCCCGAAAGCUAUUUAGGUAGCGCCUCGUGAACUCAUCUUCGGGGGUAGAGCACUGUUUCGGCUAGGGGGCCAUCCCGGCUUACCAACCCGAUGCAAACUACGAAUACCGAAGAAUGUUAUCACGGGAGACACACGGCGGGUGCUAACGUCCGUCGUGAAGAGGGAAACAACCCAGACCGCCAGCUAAGGUCCCAAAGUCAUGGUUAAGUGGGAAACGAUGUGGGAAGGCACAGACAGCCAGGAUGUUGGCUUAGAAGCAGCCAUCAUUUAAAGAAAGCGUAAUAGCUCACUGGUCGAGUCGGCCUGCGCGGAAGAUGUAACGGGGCUAAACCAUGCACCGAAGCUGCGGCAGCGACGCUUAUGCGUUGUUGGGUAGGGGAGCGUUCUGUAAGCCGUUGAAGGUGUGCUGUGAGGCAUGCUGGAGGUAUCAGAAGUGCGAAUGCUGACAUAAGUAACGAUAAAGCGGGUGAAAAGCCCGCUCGCCGGAAGACCAAGGGUUCCUGUCCAACGUUAAUCGGGGCAGGGUGAGUCGACCCCUAAGGCGAGGCCGAAAGGCGUAGUCGAUGGGAAACAGGUUAAUAUUCCUGUACUUGGUGUUACUGCGAAGGGGGGACGGAGAAGGCUAUGUCAGCCGGGCGACGGUUGUCCCGGUUUAAGCAUGUAGGCGGAGGUUCCAGGUAAAUCCGGUACCUUAUUAACGCUGAGGUGUGAUGACGAGGCACUACGGUGCUGAAGUGAUAAAUGCCCUGCUUCCAGGAAAAGCCUCUAAGCAUCAGGUAACACGAAAUCGUACCCCAAACCGACACAGGUGGUCAGGUAGAGAAUACCAAGGCGCUUGAGAGAACUCGGGUGAAGGAACUAGGCAAAAUGGUGCCGUAACUUCGGGAGAAGGCACGCUGAUGUGUAGGUGAAGUCCCUGCGGAUGGAGCUGAAAUCAGUCGAAGAUACCAGCUGGCUGCAACUGUUUAUUAAAAACACAGCACUGUGCAAACACGAAAGUGGACGUAUACGGUGUGACGCCUGCCCGGUGCCGGAAGGUUAAUUGAUGGGGUUAGCGGCAACGCGAAGCUCUUGAUCGAAGCCCCGGUAAACGGCGGCCGUAACUAUAACGGUCCUAAGGUAGCGAAAUUCCUUGUCGGGUAAGUUCCGACCUGCACGAAUGGCGUAAUGAUGGCCAGGCUGUCUCCACCCGAGACUCAGUGAAAUUGAACUCGCUGUGAAGAUGCAGUGUACCCGCGGCAAGACGGAAAGACCCCGUGAACCUUUACUAUAGCUUGACACUGAACACUGGUCCUUGAUGUGUAGGAUAGGUGGGAGGCUUUGAAGCGUGGACGCCAGUCUGCGUGGAGCCNGACCCGUAAUCCGGGUUGCGGACAGUGUCUGGUGGGUAGUUUGACUGGGGCGGUCUCCUCCCAAAGAGUAACGGAGGAGCACGAAGGUUGGCUAAUCCUGGUCGGACAUCAGGAGGUUAGUGCAAUGGCAUAAGCCAGCUUGACUGCGAGCGUGACGGCGCGAGCAGGUGCGAAAGCAGGUCAUAGUGAUCCGGUGGUUCUGAAUGGAAGGGCCAUCGCUCAACGGAUAAAAGGUACUCCGGGGAUAACAGGCUGAUACCGCCCAAGAGUUCAUAUCGACGGCGGUGUUUGGCACCUCGAUGUCGGCUCAUCACAUCCUGGGGCUGAAGUAGGUCCCAAGGGUAUGGCUGUUCGCCAUUUAAAGUGGUACGCGAGCUGGGUUUAGAACGUCGUGAGACAGUUCGGUCCCUAUCUGCCGUGGGCGCUGGAGAAUUGAGGGGGGCUGCUCCUAGUACGAGAGGACCGGAGUGGACGCAUCACUGGUGUUCGGGUUGUCAUGCCAAUGGCACUGCCCGGUAGCUAAAUGCGGAAGAGAUAAGUGCUGAAAGCAUCUAAGCACGAAACUUGCCCCGAGAUGAGUUCUCCCUGAGACUUUAAGUCUCCUGAAGGAACGUUGAAGACGACGACGUUGAUAGGUCGGGUGUGUAAGCGCAGCGAUGCGUUGAGCUAACCGAUACUAAUGAACCGUGAGGCUUAACC
RNAcentral lists this ribosomal RNA (2854 nucleotides) under Enterobacter cloacae. RNAcentral describes it as "bacterial LSU rRNA". It matches the Rfam family "Bacterial large subunit ribosomal RNA". The record is from RNAcentral. Lineage: Bacteria; Pseudomonadati; Pseudomonadota; Gammaproteobacteria; Enterobacterales; Enterobacteriaceae.